GGGGUGAAAUCCCACAGCUCAACUGUGGAACUGCCUUUGAUACUGUCAGUCUAGAGUAUAGUUGAAGUUGGCGGAAUGUGUCAUGUAGCGGUGAAAUGCUUAGAUAUGACACAGAACACCGAUCGCGAAGGCAGCUAGCUAAGCUAUAACUGACGCUCAUGCACGAAAGCGUGGGGAUCAAACAGGAUUAGAUACCCUGGUAGUCCACGCUGUAAACGAUGAUUACUCGAUGUUGGCGAUACACAGUCAGCGUCUGAGCGAAAGCAAUAAGUAAUCCACCUGGGGAGUACGAUCGCAAGAUUGAAACUCAAAGGAAUUGACGGGGGCCCGCACAAGCGGAGGAGCAUGUGGUUUAAUUCGAUGAUACGCGAGGAACCUUACCUGGGCUCGAACGUAAGAUGACUGUAGGUGAAAGCUUACAUCUCUUCGGAGCAUUUUACGAGGUGCUGCAUGGUUGUCGUCAGCUCGUGCCGUGAGGUGUCGGGUUAAGUCCCAUAACGAGCGCAACCCCUACCUUUAGUUGCCAUCAGGUCAUGCUGGGGACUCUAAAGGAACUGCCUACGCAAGUAGUGAGGAAGGCGGGGAUGACGUCAAAUCAGCACGGCCCUUACGUCCAGGGCUACACACGUGCUACAAUGGCCGAUACAGAGGGCAGCUACCUGGUGACAGGAUGCAAAUCUCCAAAGUCGGUCUCAGUUCGGAUCGGAGUCUGCAACCCGACUCCGUGAAGUUGGAUUCGCUAGUAAUCGCGCAUCAGCCAUGGCGCGGUGAAUACGUUCCCGGGCCUUGUACACACCGCCCGUCAAGCCAUGGAAGCUGGGGGGACCUAAAGUCGAUAACCGCAAGGAGCCGCCUAGGGUAAAACCAGUGACUGGGGCUAAGUCGUAACAAGGUAGCCG
This 899-nucleotide ribosomal RNA is filed under the name uncultured Lentimicrobium sp. RNAcentral describes it as "bacterial SSU rRNA". It matches the Rfam family "Bacterial small subunit ribosomal RNA", at positions 591 to 1502 of the family's 1533-position model. The record is from RNAcentral. Lineage: Bacteria; Pseudomonadati; Bacteroidota; Bacteroidia; Bacteroidales; Lentimicrobiaceae.